Molecule: long non-coding RNA, 2692 nt
Organism: Canis lupus familiaris (dog)
Lineage: Eukaryota; Metazoa; Chordata; Mammalia; Carnivora; Canidae
Exons: 9
Source: RefSeq, a predicted model, not a curated record
CCCUCGAGGACACGCGGCCUGGGAAGCGCACUGGAGCCCCGAGCACGGCCGUCGCCGCCCAGCGAGCGCCGCCGAGCAGCAAGCACCUGGCCCGCGGCCUACGACUCUUUUUUGUGUCCCUCCACGUGGAAGCGACUUUCAAAUCAUCCCGAAAGCCUCAGGCUCUGCUAGGAACGGCCGCACAUCUGCCCCGGAGACCCCGGCCCUCGAGCCACCGGCAGCUCCCGACUCCGGGCGGUGCUGGCACCGAUGUCGGCCUGGGCCCGAGCGGUGCGGUCAGUGUCCCCCCCGGGUCCCGACCUUGAGGAAGGGUCUGAGCUGUGGCGGCGCGAGCCCAGAGCUGGCCACACUGUGUCCUCGCCUCAACGGAGCGCUUCCAAGCACCUGAGCCCCAGAAGUGUAGACAGUCCUCACCACAACGGAGUCCCCGAAUCCACUGUCCUUGGCCAGCUGACCCACGGCCCCUCAGUGACCCGCUCACAUGUGCCACGGGACACCCACUCCAGUUGAGCCACGUCGUGUCGAGCUUCUGUCCCGGGCACCAGCAGCGGGAACAGCCCAGCUGGAGAGGAGUGAAGAGCGUCUGCUGGAAGUUUCCAGUCCUGCCCAUCAGACAGUAUCAAGCACAGAGGUGCCUCUUUGCCUACAACCUGGGUUUUGACCUUUUUUUCUUUUUUCUUUCUAAUCAGUGAUGAAGGACAUCAAAUGAUAGCAAAGAUAAAUGCUAGCUCAAUUGUCAUAUUAUUAAAGCUGCAAGGGACCCUUGAUGUCAUCUGAUUAAGGUCCUUCAUUGUCCACACGCCAGAGCUCUCUGAGCCAGAGAGCACAGCUAAUUAGGGAACAAGCCGGUCAUUCCGGAAUCCUUGGACAACAAUGACCCAGGUUGGAUGAAAAAUGAUGCUGCUUGCAUUUAAUUAGUUUUUCUCUUCUGUUCACCAGCCCAGGGUAUUUUUCUCAAAUUUUCUGAAAUCGUGUCUAUUGAGGACUGUGACUCUCAGGAUUCGUACGGUAUGUUUUCAAGGGAAACCAUCCAGUUUCUGGAACUCUGAUGGUACCUCCAUUUGUCAGGACGAUUUUUUAUUUGAUUCCACCAAACGUGUUACAAAACUAUGUUCCAGCAUACGGUGUUAGAAGCUUGGCCGGGGCACAAUCUUAGCUUUGUGAAGACUGCACGAAGAUAAAUCCAUAAAUGAUUAUCGCACAAACACAAGCAGUUUCCGUAGAUACAUGUUUACAAAUACUAAUGAGGGACUCAGCAGUCCCGACUGCUCAGUUUGUGGCUUCAUCGUCUCAGCCGAGGCCUCCUCUCUGACUCACAUCCUCAGAGGAAGGCUCUCCAAUGCUCCAGUAUAGAAGGACAUAUAUCCCCCCUGCCCACUACCCGUCGGCCAGGACACGGCCCUGCCUGACUCCAGGGGGGAUGAGGUCUGGCGAGAAGGCAUCAUCUUCCCACACUGUGGAAGGAGGUGCCGUUCGUUAGAACACAGCCCAUGACCAUACUAAAUGCACUAGUGGCUGGGAAAUCGAGUCUAGUUGGCAGUCCAGAAGAGAGAGGAGAGCAUAGCUUUUGGUCUGCAGUUCCCGGCCGGGGGCUGGUGAAGUGAAGUGGAUCAGAUCGUCCUCUACCUCUGAUGCAAAACAUCCCCAGAACCAACCUACGUCCACGCGUGCCCUUCCUCAGCUACAUCACCCACAGCCCUCGUGGGUGCUCCAAAGAGCCUUCUUGGUUUCCCAUCAGGAGCUCCAAUGUCGAGGGUCCUGGUGUCUUUGGUGAGCCAGACUCCCUCUGGGGCAUGUUUCGGGCCCAGCAAGCUCCCUUGGGAUGGCCUGGACGCAGAGAGCAGACUCAUGGACAGGGUUUGGGCAGGACGUUCGAAGCGGCAGCCAUUCCCUGGGAAUUGGGGCCAUGAAGCACCUUAUCCACACGGAGGAUCUCCUUCCACUGCCAACCUUGGAGGAGUGGUUCCUCUCAAAGGUGAUUCCUAGAAACCUCUACUCUGAAGGCCUCUUCUUUCAACCAAGCGUCCAGCACAUCCUCACAACUCCCUAGGAACACUCAGAAGCCACUCCUCUCACUGUCGACAACACCACCAAAGCUCCUGAAUGUGAGGCAGGAGGCUGCAAGGCUGGGUCUUCACGGUGAGGAGGUGGAGCAGAUAGUACUCAGAGGCAGACAGGGUUGGGAUUGAAAGGAACUCCCAGCUGGCUAUUAUAAAUGGAGAUACAACAGGUAUGAACAAGCAUCCUUGGCCAGAAGAGGGGAGGAAGGAGGGCUCCAGAACAGAAUGCUGAGAGUGGAUGCCCAGGCUGUGGAGUGACAUAGAAGGGACUCAGAGAAGGCUUCAGGAGAAGAUUCGAAAGGAAGUUCACCACAGUGGGUAUCAACAGGAGCAAUGAAGCCAACACUGCCUUCAGCACAACGCAGAAAGGAAGAGAAAAUGAAAAGACACACACGGAGUCUUAAAAUCUCUGGGAAGAAGAUGCAGAGCAAAGAAGACAGACACACCAGAUUUCAUUCGCAGAAUGACCUUCGUUGAAAGAAACUUUAUCCAAGAGCUCUUCAGAGGAUUCCUUGCUCCCCGCAGCAAGCCCCAGGCCAUACUCACCUGUCCAGCUCCACCUGAAGGCAGGCCCAGGGAUCCUUAGCAGCUGCUACCCAGUCUUUUUCCUAGAACUAUGGCUUUCAACUUUA